UACAGAGGUCUCAAGCGUUGUUCAGAUUCAUUGGGCGUAAAGGGUGUGUAGGCGGCGCGCUAAGUCGGGUGUGAAAUUUCGGAGCUUAACUCCGAAACUGCAUUCGAUACUGGCGUGCUUGAGGACUGGAGAGGAGACUGGAAUUCAUGGUGUAGCAGUGAAAUGCGUAGAGAUCAUGAGGAAGACCAGUGGCGAAGGCGGGUCUCUGGACAGUUCCUGACACUGAGACACGAAGGCCAGGGGAGCAAACGGG
This 253-nucleotide ribosomal RNA is filed under the name uncultured bacterium. RNAcentral's name for it is "partial 16S ribosomal RNA". It matches the Rfam family "Bacterial small subunit ribosomal RNA", at positions 524 to 776 of the family's 1533-position model. The record is from RNAcentral.